Molecule: ribosomal RNA, 774 nt
Filed under: uncultured Neocallimastigales
Lineage: Eukaryota; Fungi; Neocallimastigomycota; Neocallimastigomycetes; Neocallimastigales
Description: partial large subunit ribosomal RNA
Rfam family: Eukaryotic large subunit ribosomal RNA
Source: RNAcentral
AGAGAGAGACAUGCGCGCAUAUCAAUAAGCGGAGGAAAAGAAACUAACAAGGAUUCCCCUAGUAACGGCGAGUGAAGCGGGAAGAGCUCAAAUUUGAAAUCUUAAAGGGUUUCCCUUUACGAAUUGUAGUUUAAAGAAGUGUUUUCUGUUGAGGUUUUGGUAAAAGUUCUUUGGAAUAGGACAUCAUAGAGGGUGAGAAUCCCGUAUUUGACCUUUACUUUCAACUUUGUGAUACACUUUCAAAGAGUCGGAUUGUUUGGGAAUGCAGUCCAAAAUGGGUGGUAAAUUUCAUCUAAAGCUAAAUAUUGGCGAGAGACCGAUAGCGAACAAGUACCGUGAGGGAAAGAUGAAAAGAACUUUGAAAAGAGAGAUUAAACAGUACGUGAAAUUGUCAAAAGGGAAGCGUUUGACACCAGUGUUGUUUUUCUGAAAAUCAAUUAAAGAACUGUUUAUGCUAAGUUGUUUAGACUUUAUCAGCUAACUGUUUAGUUUUGAGCUUUUCUUUAAUGCACUUUUCAGUUAACAAGUCAACAUCAAUUUCUUUUGCUGUAAAAAAGCUUGAGGAAGGUGGCUUGAGAUUCGUCUUAAGUGUUUAUAGCCUCUUGCCUAUGCAGUCGGAGAGAUUGAGGUCUGCAGCGUAGAUCCUUCGGGGCUAAAUGCAUUUGUGCUAAGUUAUAGCAUUUUAUAGACAACUUGUUGACUAUGAUUUGUCUUGUAGCUUACUCGCUUAUGUUAUUUUACCUACGCUUAGGAUGUUGAAGACUCUACAGAGAU